UGAGGAAUAUUGGUCAAUGGGCGCAAGCCUGAACCAGCCAUCCCGCGUGAAGGAAGAAGGCGCUAUGCGUUGUAAACUUCUUUUCCAGGGGAAUAAAAUGAGGUACGUGUACUUCACUGCAGGUACCCUGGGAAUAAGCAUCGGCUAACUCCGUGCCAGCAGCCGCGGUAAUACGGAGGAUGCAAGCGUUAUCAGGAUUUAUUGGGUUGAAAGGGUGCGUAGGCGGAUCAAUAAGUCAGUGGUGAAAACCUUCAGCUUAACUGGAGACUUGCCAUUGAUACUGGUGG
Molecule: ribosomal RNA, 287 nt
Filed under: uncultured prokaryote
Description: partial 16S ribosomal RNA
Rfam family: Bacterial small subunit ribosomal RNA
Source: RNAcentral